This 296-nucleotide ribosomal RNA is filed under the name uncultured bacterium. RNAcentral describes it as "partial 16S ribosomal RNA". It matches the Rfam family "Bacterial small subunit ribosomal RNA", at positions 355 to 667 of the family's 1533-position model. The record is from RNAcentral.
UGGGGAAUAUUGGACAAUGGGGGCAACCCUGAUCCAGCAAUGCCGCGUGUGUGAAGAAGGUCUUCGGAUUGUAAAGCACUUUCGACGGGGACGAUGAUGACGGUACCCGUAGAAGAAGCCCCGGCUAACUUCGUGCCAGCAGCCGCGGUAAUACGAAGGGGGCUAGCGUUGCUCGGAAUGACUGGGCGUAAAGGGCGUGUAGGCGGUUUACACAGUCAGAUGUGAAAUCCCCCGGGCUUAACCUGGGAGCUGCAUUUGAUACGUGUAGACUAGAGUGUGAGAGAGGGUUGUGGAAU